Molecule: ribosomal RNA, 443 nt
Filed under: uncultured bacterium
Lineage: Bacteria
Description: partial 16S ribosomal RNA
Rfam family: Bacterial small subunit ribosomal RNA
Source: RNAcentral
CCUACGGGAGGCAGCAGUGAGGAAUAUUGGUCAAUGGGCGCAAGCCUGACCCAGCAACGCCGCGUGAAGGAAGAAGGCUUUCGGGUUGUAAACUUCUUUUGUCAGGGACGAAGCAAGUGACGGUACCUGACGAAUAAGCCACGGCUAACUACGUGGCAGCAGACGCGGUUAUACGUAGGUGGCAAGCGUUAUCCGGAUUUAUUGGGUGUAAAGGGCGUGUAGGCGGGAAUGCAAGUCAGAUGUGAAAACUAUGGGCUCAACCCAUAGCCUGCAGUUGAAACUGUAUUUCUUGAGUGCUGGAGAGGCAAUCGGAAUGCGGGGUGUAGCGGUGAAAUGCGUAGAUAUACGGAGGAACACCAGUGGCGAAGGCGGAUUGCUGGACAGUAACUGACGCUGAGGCGCGAAAGCGUGGGGAGCAAACAGGAUUAGAUACCCUAGUAGUC